RNAcentral lists this ribosomal RNA (449 nucleotides) under uncultured bacterium. Its description in RNAcentral is "partial 16S ribosomal RNA". It matches the Rfam family "Bacterial small subunit ribosomal RNA", at positions 29 to 523 of the family's 1533-position model. The record is from RNAcentral.
AAUGAACGCUGGCGGCAGGCCUAACACAUGCAAGUCGAACGGAUCCUUCGGGAUUAGUGGCGGACGGGUGAGUAACGCGUGGGAACAUACCCUUUGGUACGGAAUAGCCUCGGGAAACUGGGAGUAAUACCGUAUGUGGUCGAGAGACGAAAGAUUUAUCGCCAAAGGAUUGGCCCGCGUUGGAUUAGGUAGUUGGUGGGGUAAUGGCCUACCAAGCCGACGAUCCAUAGCUGGUUUGAGAGGAUGAUCAGCCACACUGGGACUGAGACACGGCCCAGACUCCUACGGGAGGCAGCAGUGGGGAAUCUUAGACAAUGGUGGAAACUCUGAUCUAGCCAUGCCGCGUGAUCGAUGAAGGCCUUAGGGUUGUAAAGAUCUUUCAGGUGGGAAGAUAAUGACUGUACCACCAGAAGAAGCCCCGGCUAACUCCGUGCCAGCCGCCGCAGUAA